GAAGAUGAUGAUAGUUUUUUGUCGCCCCAGUCUUAUAAGCAUUUCAAUGCUUGGUGGUGAUUGACUCUUUUAUAUCUGAUUC
Molecule: small nucleolar RNA, 82 nt
Organism: Mercurialis annua (annual mercury)
Lineage: Eukaryota; Viridiplantae; Streptophyta; Magnoliopsida; Malpighiales; Euphorbiaceae
Product: small nucleolar RNA U31b
Exons: 1
Source: RefSeq, a predicted model, not a curated record